UUUGUCCUUCAGCUAUGGUGUUACUCUGCUGGAAUAAAACCUUGCAAAAGAGCCUUUCUUGCCUCUAUCGCUGAGCCAGCUGCAGGUAUUUCUCUGGGGGCGGCUGACAACCCUCGAGGCUUCGAGGACCAGCCAAUUCAGCCAGACCUCCUCUGAGAUUUUUUUUCUGGCACACUGAGGUGUUCUUUCCAGGUGCUACAGCUGAGUUGUCAGAAACCCAGGACAUCCCUCUGGAUGCCCUGGAUGGCUCAAAAUCUUGGCAGGGGCUCGGAGACCCUGGCAGGAAGCCAAAGACACCUGGGAAUUUGAUCUCAACCCAUGAAGCAAAUUACCAACUCUAUAUGAAGCAUUGCAAGUCACAAAAGUUUAG
This is a long non-coding RNA of Pyrgilauda ruficollis (rufous-necked snowfinch), 370 nucleotides long. RefSeq lists it as uncharacterized. NCBI's taxonomy places the organism in Eukaryota, Metazoa, Chordata, Aves, Passeriformes, Passeridae. The transcript has 3 exons. The record is from RefSeq and is a predicted model, not a curated record.